This is a non-coding RNA of Pelobates cultripes (western spadefoot toad), 341 nucleotides long. The record is from the annotation of a GenBank genome assembly. Lineage: Eukaryota; Metazoa; Chordata; Amphibia; Anura; Pelobatidae.
GCGGAGUCUGCGUGCCAACUGCCUUCGGCCUGCGGCUGUAAAUGGGACUCGUGCCGUCGUGCCAUGGAUCCUAUUUUGAGGGUCAUGGGCCCGGGGUGCUUCCAGUUCUCGGAUAAAUCCCCGGGUGUAUGGCUGGCGUUGGAGAGGUACCUCCGUGUGAGUACCCGGCCCAGAAGAAGGGCAUGCGGCAGAGACUGCAACAUUCUCCAUGUGCAUGGCUGGGUGUGUUAGUUCGGUUGGGCUGUUUGCUGAUAGGAAUUCCGCCUGGGGCUGUGUGGUGUAAGUGAUAGGCUGCUGUGUUUGCUCUGCCCGGGCUGCAAUCUGGCCCCAGAACGUUGCAC